GAGGAUUGAACCUGAUGCCUCACAUGUACUAGGUAAGCACUCUACCACUGAGCCACAACCACAGGACCUUAUUCUCAAGUUUUGAUGACCUGGCUGUGAAUUUAGUCCAUGGGCAUGAGAUCCCCUUCCAGGUAUCUUGCCUAGAUCAUCAAAGACCAUGGCCUCCCUGGUUCCACCAGAUCCUGUGAGGCAAAGUUAUUACUUUUUCAAAAGAGUUGAAGCCAACUCCUCCACACUUAGCACUGAAGGGAAAAUCUCUUUGUGGAGAGGGGUGAUUGAGAAUUCUCCCUCUGGAUUUCUCAUCAUCCCUACCCUUCAUCAUACACACAGGGAAGCUGAGACCAGGCUGGAUUCUUCAGACCAGCCUUUAUCACAGAUUGGGAGAAAAAAAGAAAGAUACAGAGAAUAACAGGACCCUAUAAAUUCUCACUUACAAGAUAUGACUUGCUCAUGAGGGCUCAGCUCUGUCCAGUAUGCGGUGGUCAGUGCCAUCCCGGCAGCCCUAGCCUCCAAGAAGAAACUGAGACAACUGCCUCCUUGAAAGCUCAGAUGGACCCACUUUUUUAAAAAAAAUAAAGAAGUUGACGAGGCUAGAGUCUCUCCUGUCUUGUGCCACCAUCUGAAUUUGUAUCUUGUCUGAAGAUGUGCCCUUUCCUGGGAUGUUAGAAAUAAUUGCUCCUUUUUAUGUAAAAUAAGACUUCAGAUUCAAAUAAGGUUUAGCUGGUCAGAUGGCUGUGCUGACUGCAUACAGGAAGGUGCACAUGAGUUGAAUGUCUCAGCUCGAUGCCUUAACUGUUCUUGCCAGAAGUAUGGUUUAUCUCCACACAUACACCCCCCCCCAAAAAAAAAAAAGGUUUUUCUUCAGAUACAUUCAAUUCAGAAGCCAAAUAUUUCAACAUUAUGAAAUACUCUGUGAUUUUGAUUUACAAAACACCCAUAGGUGGCAAACCAAGGGUUAUUUGCAAAAGGUACUGGUAGUACUCUUUUCAAAGAGGUCCCCAUUACUGUCCAGGGGAAGUAAAAUUCAAGGGUCUAUUAGUUUGUUGAGACUUUUUCUUCACUCAGAAGUCUAUGUAACAUAACUGUAUUUUGGUGCUGAUUUCUUCUUUAUCCUCUUCAAGAGAGACCUCACUGCAAUCCAUCAGAAUGGCCUUUGCCUGUUGAUUGCAACCAAACAAAAUGUAGCAGAGUACUACAGAACCGUGGGGUCUGAGUGAGAUGUGCUGGAAGAGUUCCCUAAUGCUGACUGUCUGCAUUCCUGGAGGUUGGAUGGCCAUCAUCCUAUGUUCCUUAUACUUACCUGUUGGAUAACCCCAGGAUUCCUGGACUUCUGACCAGCAGUGGAGACAGUGCUGCACCCUCUAGGCAUUCUGAAAAUGUAUUCAUGUUUGUUAUAUGGUUGGGGGCACUACUUGGGUGGAGGCAGAGGGGAGACAGACUUCCUGCUACAGGUGGGACAGUCUUAUACAAUGAAGAUUUGUCCUGCAUUCCAUAUGUGUUUGUAUGCCCCCCAGAUGUUCAUGUAGGUAGAAACCUCUUUAUAUUGGUCCAAACCUAGAACCUAAUUCCAUUUUGCACAAAAUACUUUUUGCACAAUUUUGAUAUGCACUGAAUUUUUCAUGAAUGCAACCAUCAUAUAAAUAGAAUACUACAUUUUGUCUACAACAGAGUUGUUCACCAUUUAAGAAAGCCACAAUACCAACAGCAAAAUGUUCAUGGUAUUUGAGUUGCUGAAACAACACAUCUUUAUUCCUCUGCCUUCAAAGAUGAAUAGUGAUUCUACCUAUCUGUAUGAAUAUAUAGU
RNAcentral lists this long non-coding RNA (1804 nucleotides) under Marmota monax (woodchuck). Lineage: Eukaryota; Metazoa; Chordata; Mammalia; Rodentia; Sciuridae. The record is from RNAcentral.